This 1552-nucleotide ribosomal RNA is filed under the name Salmonella enterica subsp. enterica serovar Newport. RNAcentral describes it as "bacterial SSU rRNA". It matches the Rfam family "Bacterial small subunit ribosomal RNA". Lineage: Bacteria; Pseudomonadati; Pseudomonadota; Gammaproteobacteria; Enterobacterales; Enterobacteriaceae. The record is from RNAcentral. RNAcentral also lists the same sequence under 6 other names.
AAAUUGAAGAGUUUGAUCAUGGCUCAGAUUGAACGCUGGCGGCAGGCCUAACACAUGCAAGUCGAACGGUAACAGGAAGCAGCUUGCUGCUUUGCUGACGAGUGGCGGACGGGUGAGUAAUGUCUGGGAAACUGCCUGAUGGAGGGGGAUAACUACUGGAAACGGUGGCUAAUACCGCAUAACGUCGCAAGACCAAAGAGGGGGACCUUCGGGCCUCUUGCCAUCAGAUGUGCCCAGAUGGGAUUAGCUAGUUGGUGAGGUAACGGCUCACCAAGGCGACGAUCCCUAGCUGGUCUGAGAGGAUGACCAGCCACACUGGAACUGAGACACGGUCCAGACUCCUACGGGAGGCAGCAGUGGGGAAUAUUGCACAAUGGGCGCAAGCCUGAUGCAGCCAUGCCGCGUGUAUGAAGAAGGCCUUCGGGUUGUAAAGUACUUUCAGCGGGGAGGAAGGUGUUGUGGUUAAUAACCGCAGCAAUUGACGUUACCCGCAGAAGAAGCACCGGCUAACUCCGUGCCAGCAGCCGCGGUAAUACGGAGGGUGCAAGCGUUAAUCGGAAUUACUGGGCGUAAAGCGCACGCAGGCGGUCUGUCAAGUCGGAUGUGAAAUCCCCGGGCUCAACCUGGGAACUGCAUUCGAAACUGGCAGGCUUGAGUCUUGUAGAGGGGGGUAGAAUUCCAGGUGUAGCGGUGAAAUGCGUAGAGAUCUGGAGGAAUACCGGUGGCGAAGGCGGCCCCCUGGACAAAGACUGACGCUCAGGUGCGAAAGCGUGGGGAGCAAACAGGAUUAGAUACCCUGGUAGUCCACGCCGUAAACGAUGUCUACUUGGAGGUUGUGCCCUUGAGGCGUGGCUUCCGGAGCUAACGCGUUAAGUAGACCGCCUGGGGAGUACGGCCGCAAGGUUAAAACUCAAAUGAAUUGACGGGGGCCCGCACAAGCGGUGGAGCAUGUGGUUUAAUUCGAUGCAACGCGAAGAACCUUACCUGGUCUUGACAUCCACAGAACUUUCCAGAGAUGGAUUGGUGCCUUCGGGAACUGUGAGACAGGUGCUGCAUGGCUGUCGUCAGCUCGUGUUGUGAAAUGUUGGGUUAAGUCCCGCAACGAGCGCAACCCUUAUCCUUUGUUGCCAGCGAUUAGGUCGGGAACUCAAAGGAGACUGCCAGUGAUAAACUGGAGGAAGGUGGGGAUGACGUCAAGUCAUCAUGGCCCUUACGACCAGGGCUACACACGUGCUACAAUGGCGCAUACAAAGAGAAGCGACCUCGCGAGAGCAAGCGGACCUCAUAAAGUGCGUCGUAGUCCGGAUUGGAGUCUGCAACUCGACUCCAUGAAGUCGGAAUCGCUAGUAAUCGUGGAUCAGAAUGCCACGGUGAAUACGUUCCCGGGCCUUGUACACACCGCCCGUCACACCAUGGGAGUGGGUUGCAAAAGAAGUAGGUAGCUUAACCUUCGGGAGGGCGCUUACCACUUUGUGAUUCAUGACUGGGGUGAAGUCGUAACAAGGUAACCGUAGGGGAACCUGCGGUUGGAUCACCUCCUUACCUGAAAGAA